Spinacia oleracea (spinach) is the source of this 1925-nucleotide RNA transcript. RefSeq lists it as uncharacterized. NCBI's taxonomy places the organism in Eukaryota, Viridiplantae, Streptophyta, Magnoliopsida, Caryophyllales, Amaranthaceae. The record is from RefSeq and is a predicted model, not a curated record. The transcript is spliced from 8 exons.
AAGAAAAGCUUUCUCCUCCUCCUCCUUUGGUCCUUCCUCCGUCUCGACAAUAUGGGGAAGCAAUAGCAUCCUUGCAGAAAUUCACAAAAUCAAAAACUUUGAACAAUAAUUUUCAUAAUCCAGAAGCAUAAUCUGCACAAAUUAACCAUUUAAAACACGAAAUUGAACCAUCAAUUUACGGGAAAAUGCUGGGAUUGUCUUAUGCAGAAAUUUUCGUUCUUCUUGGAGCAACUGCUGCUUUCAUCGGGCCUAAGGACCUUCCAAUCAUUUCACGAACUGCUGGUCGAUUAGCUGGGCGAGCAAUUGGUUAUGUUCAAUUGGCUCGUGGUCAAUUCGAUAAUGUCAUGCAACAAACUCAAUUUCGUCAGGUAAAUAAAGAAUUGCAAGAUACAAUGGCUCAGCUAGAAGCAAUUCGCUAUGAAAUUCGCAGCAUAUCCAUCAUGAACCCUGGUCCAUUGACGCAGAGGCUGAUGGAUAAUCCUGAACAAGAUAAUACUGACACAGGGGCUACUGCCAAUACUGGGCCUGUAAAUAUCAGUGAAGAGAGCACUGCAGCUAGGGUACAUCAUGUUCAACAUCAACAAAGCCAACAACAGCUGCACGGCUUUAAGACGGAGACUAGCGUGUUCAAGGAGCACGGCUCAGUAGCUUCUGGAACAUCCAACUUGUAUAGCCGAGCAACUGCGUACGCUAAGUUGGCAGAAUCCCCUGCUCUAAAAUCCGGGACAGUGGAAGGUAGUGUUAGCGUGGACACAGUUGAUGAGAGACCUGGCCUUCUGUCAGUCCUUCCUGUAUCUGCUGAGAGUGCAGGUUUACUGCCAAAACGUCAAGGUGAAGUAACAGGUUCUGACAUUGUUCUUGAAGCAGUAUUAGAGGCAGAAGUUGCACGCAAUGCCAAAGAAUUUUUCUCCCAGCCACAAAAUGAGAUCAAAUUUGAAUGAUUUGCAAAAUUCGGCUUAGAAAAGUUGAUCAAGAAUAUCCAUUACUACAUGAUCCGUUGAUGUUAAACUGUUUUCUAGCAGUUAUGCCCCCAAAUCUUGAUAAUUUUUUUGCUUUGAGCCGAAGUUUGGAAGUCUAGCUCAUGCAGGACAACCUUGAUGGGCCGUUUGGUAGCCGGUAAUAAAGGGUGGGAAUGAAAAUAAUUUUAAGUGUUAUUUGGUAAAAAAAAUAACAUCAUAAUGUGCAUGGUAAUGAAAUUUUGUCUCAAACUUGGUGUUUUUCUUCAUAAAUUUGCAUUCCCACCUAAUACCACUCUCCAAAUGGUAAUGGAUGGUAUUGGAAAUUUAUAAAGUAAAAUAGAUAAUUUCGAGUAAACUAACAUUAUCAUGGGAAUGAAUAUUGAUCUUCCUUACAAAUUUACAUACAAAUUCAUUCCAAUUGACACCAUUUAUGGUCGGCUACCAAACGGGUCGUGAUUCUUUUCCUCAUGGGACUUCCUACGACCUACAAGCAGUUGGAAUCUUUGGCUUAACGGCAACGUGGAACGACUCUUGAGUGUUGACUUGGGUGAGAUAUAUGAUGCAUACAUCUUAUUUUAUGAAACGGUCUCAUGAUACCUUACUGCAAGCUCAAGGUAAUUUAUUUUCCGACUUGUUUGGGGAUGGAGGUUAAUUUUGGUGGAGUCUCCUAAUAACUUACUGUGACAGUGUUGCCAUGCUCCAAAAGACCGGUGUUCAUUAUUGUUAAAUGUUAAUGGAUUGUAUAUACUCGGGAAUUAUCUGUUUCUCAGAACUGGUUUAGCUAAAGAAAUUUUGAAGUUCAUGUCUGAAAAUUAGGGUGCACCAUCUUGUAUUUCGGAAAAUAUUGUUUUCUUGAUCAAUUUAGAUCUCCUCGAUUUAUUUUUUGUGUUUUCAUAUUGUAGAACAUAAUGAAGAUGAAUCUAUGUUCAUUAUAAAUGAAAAUUGAAAGAAAAUGAAGAUCUUGAA